Molecule: long non-coding RNA, 1275 nt
Organism: Homo sapiens (human)
Lineage: Eukaryota; Metazoa; Chordata; Mammalia; Primates; Hominidae
Exons: 3
Source: RefSeq, a predicted model, not a curated record
GUUACAUAGGGCCAUGGGUCUGGAUUUCCAAGAAAGUGGAGACCUCGAGGUGCAGGACUGUCGGGGCGAGGUGGCCGAGGCAGGUCAAAGCUGAAAAGUGGAAUCGGAGCUCUUGUAUUGCCUGGGGUGUCUACUGCAGAUAUUUCAUCAAAUAAGGAUGAUGAAGAAAACUCUAUGCACACUACGGUUGUGUUGUUUUCUAGCAGUGACAAAUUCACUUUGAAUCAGGAUAUGUGUGUAGUUUGUGGCAGUUUUGGCCAAGGAGCAGAAGGAAGAUUACUUGCCUGUUCUCAGUGUGGUCAGUGUUACCAUCCACACUGUGUCAGUAUUAAGGUAAACAUCCUUAAAUUGAGUUAACAAAUACGUAUUGAAUUUUUAUUUGGUUUUAGUAGUAAUAUGAGCUCCUAGUUCUCACAAUUAAGUAUUAUGAUUAUUAAACAUAUGUGACAGUAUUUAAGCACUUUAAAUACUGCUUUUAAGGGUUUCCUAUCUCAAGAAAUUUGCUCCUCUAUAAAUCUUAUAUUGUACUAAUAUCCUGCUUUUGUCUUGAAAAAGUAAAACAUAAAAAUAUAUGCAUUUAAUUUAAAAGACAAUUUAUACUAUUCACAAAGAUUUUAGGUUUAGGUGAUUCAUUUUGUCUGUUGAUUUAAAAAGCUGAGAACUGGAGUAUUUAGUAAAAAAUUAUUGGCCCAUUCUAUUCUUUCCCGCAUUCUCUCUCCUCUGUGCUCACUCAUAUACAAAAUGAGAUUUUCUCCUUAUAGCCAAAAGAAACAAAACAAGUGUCAUAUUUAAUGCAAUUGGUAAUAAUCGAGAGUCAGCACUGCUCACUUUCAAGCAUUUCAGUAUAGAGGCUUUCUGGGGAACGUUUUAAGUGGUAUUGUGUGCUUGGUUUUAAAUAUGGACAGGUCUCAAUACUUCACUAGUUGUAUCUAAGGUUCUUGGUUUUUUCUUUUUAAGAACUCAGUCUUAAUAAAACUUACAUAUUUGAAUAAAGUGUCAUGGCCACUGAAAGCAAGCAUGGAGGUAUAGCUGUACAGCAGAGGUCUUAAACUGUAUACUCCAUGGACCUGACUGUGGCCUGGGGGUUGGGGACCCCUGCUAUAGAGGAUUCAGAUUUAAAUUCAGAAGUUAGAAUGAAAAAGAAUUAUAUUCUUUAUCUAAAUGAUUUCACAGUUAACUGAGAGAAAGUCAGUAUAAGUUGAAAAGUUUAUCAGUGUUAAUAAGAAUGAAAAAUAUGUACAAUAUGCAAUUACUAUUAAAUAUAAUUUGCCCAUA